AACGCUAGCUACAGGCUUAACACAUGCAAGUCGAGGGGCAGCAUGGUCUUAGCUUGCUAAGGCUGAUGGCGACCGGCGCACGGGUGAGUAACACGUAUCCAACCUGCCGUCUACUCUUGGCCAGCCUUCUGAAAGGAAGAUUAAUCCAGGAUGGGAUCAUGAGUUCACAUGUCCGCAUGAUUAAAGGUAUUUUCCGGUAGACGAUGGGGAUGCGUUCCAUUAGAUAGUAGGCGGGGUAACGGCCCACCUAGUCAACGAUGGGUAGGGGUUCUGAGAGGAAGGUCCCCCACAUUGGAACUGAGACACGGUCCAAACUCCUACGGGAGGCAGCAGUGAGGAAUAUUGGUCAAUGGGCGAUGGCCUGAACCAGCCAAGUAGCGUGAAGGAUGACUGCCCUAUGGGUUGUAAACUUCUUUUAUAAAGGAAUAAAGUCGGGUAUGCAUACCCGUUUGCAUGUACUUUAUGAAUAAGGAUCGGCUAACUCCGUGCCAGCAGCCGCGGUAAUACGGAGGAUCCGAGCGUUAUCCGGAUUUAUUGGGUUUAAAGGGAGCGUAGAUGGAUGUUUAAGUCAGUUGUGAAAGUUUGCGGCUCAACCGUAAAAUUGCAGUUGAUACUGGAUGUCUUGAGUGCAGUUGAGGCAGGCGGAAUUCGUGGUGUAGCGGUGAAAUGCUUAGAUAUCACGAAGAACUCCGAUUG
RNAcentral lists this ribosomal RNA (696 nucleotides) under uncultured Bacteroidales bacterium. RNAcentral describes it as "bacterial SSU rRNA". It matches the Rfam family "Bacterial small subunit ribosomal RNA", at positions 32 to 715 of the family's 1533-position model. Lineage: Bacteria; Pseudomonadati; Bacteroidota; Bacteroidia; Bacteroidales. The record is from RNAcentral.